RNAcentral lists this ribosomal RNA (420 nucleotides) under uncultured bacterium. Its description in RNAcentral is "bacterial SSU rRNA". It matches the Rfam family "Bacterial small subunit ribosomal RNA", at positions 355 to 792 of the family's 1533-position model. The record is from RNAcentral.
UGGGGAAUCUUGGACAAUGGGCGCAAGCCUGAUCCAGCCAUGCCGCGUGAGUGAAGAAGGCCUUCGGGUUGUAAAGCUCUUUUACCAGGGACGAUAAUGACGGUACCUGGAGAAUAAGCCCCGGCAAACUUCGUGCCAGCAGCCGCGGUAAUACGAAGGUGGCAAGCGUUGUUCGGAUUUACUGGGCGUACAGGGAGCGUAGGCGGUUGGGUAAGCCCUCCGUGAAAUCUCUGGGCUUGACCCAGAACGGCCAAGUGAAACUGUCAUGCUAGAGUGCAGAAGGGGCAAUCGGAAUUCUUGGUGUAGCGGUGAAAUGCGUAGAUAUCAAGAGGAACACCUGAGGUGAAGACGGGUUGCUGGGCUGACACUGACGCUGAGGCGCGAAAGCCAGGGGAGCAAACGGGAUUAGAUACCCAAGUA